AUAACAAUGCGGGACUCUUAUGAGGCUUCGUAAUUGGAAUGAGUACAUUCUAAAUCCUUUAACGAGGAACUAUUGGAGGGCAAGUCUGGUGCCAGCAGCCGCGGUAAUUCCAGCUCCAAUAGCGUAUAUUAAAGUUGUUGCGUCUAAAAAGCUCGUAGUUUGAAAACUUGCCUUGGCUUACAACAGACGUCUAAGGGCGUCACCGUUUGUCGAGAGCAAAUAUGGGUGACUGUUCUUGCCUUCUUCACUGAUUGGCUCGUAAAAGUCAUCGAAGAUCACUUUGAUUAAAUUAGGGUGCUCAAAGCAAGUGUGCUACUUGAAUAUGAAUGCAUGGAAUGAUGGAAUAUGUUGUUGUUCUAUUUGUUGGUUUUUUGAAUCACGAAAUGAUUGAAAGGAACUGUUGGGGGCAUUCGUAUUGUUGUGAGAGAGGUGAAAUUCUUAGACCAUAGCAAGACGAACUACUGCGAAAGCAUUUGCCAAGAAUGUUUUCAUUGAUCAAGAACGAAAGUUAGAGGUUCGAAGGCGAUCAGAUACCGCCCUAGUUCUAACCAUAAACUAUGCCGACUAGCAAUUUGCUUUGUAUUUUUAUGACUAAGUGAGAGGCCACGGGAAACCAAAGUAGGGUUAUGGGGGAAGUAUGGUUGCAAAGCUGAAACUUAAAGGAAUUGACGGAAGGGCACCACCAGGAGUGGAGCCUGCGGCUUAAUUUGACCCAACACGGGAAAACUUACCUGGUCCUGACACUAGAAGGAUUGACAGAUUGAUAGCUCUUUCUUGAUUUGGUGGAUGGUGGUGCAUGGCCGUUCUUAGUUGGUGGAGUGAUUUGUCUGGUUAAUUCCGAUAACGAACGAGACUCUAGCCUAUUAAAUAAUAUGCGGAAUCAAUUUCUCCCGCGUUAUUUCUUAAUGGGAUCAAGCGUGUUUAACGCUUUGAAACAGAGCAAUAACAGGUCUGUGAUGCCCUUAGAUGUUCGGGGCUGCACGCGCGCUACAUUGAAGAACAAAGUGAGCCCUCUGGCUUUUAACAAAGCUAGAAAUCUUUUAAUGUUCUUCUUAAUGGGGAUAGGGGAUUGCAAUUGUGCCCCUUGAACGAGGAAUUCCCAGUAAGUGCUAGUCAUUAGCUAGUACUGAUUACGUCCCUGCCCUUUGUACACACCGCCCGUCGCUACUACCGAUUGAAUAGUUUAGUGAGAUCAUCUGAGUGUUAGUAUGUGCAUUCUGUGCUUGUAUGGUGUACGAAGAAGAUCAAACUUGAUUAUUUAGAGGAAGUAAAAGUC
This 1276-nucleotide ribosomal RNA is filed under the name metagenome. RNAcentral describes it as "SSU rRNA". It matches the Rfam family "Eukaryotic small subunit ribosomal RNA", at positions 477 to 1790 of the family's 1831-position model. The record is from RNAcentral.